AUUGAACGCUGGCGGCAGGCCUAACACAUGCAAGUCGAACGGUAACAGGAAGAAGCUUGCUUCUUUGCUGACGAGUGGCGGACGGGUGAGUAAUGUCUGGGAAACUGCCUGAUGGAGGGGGAUAACUACUGGAAACGGUAGCUAAUACCGCAUAACGUCGCAAGACCAAAGAGGGGGACCUUCGGGCCUCUUGCCAUCGGAUGUGCCCAGAUGGGAUUGGCUAGUAGGUGGGGUAACGGCUCACCUAGGCGACGAUCCCUAGCUGGUCUGAGAGGAUGACCAGCCACACUGGAACUGAGACACGGUCCAGACUCCUACGGGAGGCAGCAGUGGGGAAUAUUGCACAAUGGGCGCAAGCCUGAUGCAGCCAUGCCGCGUGUAUGAAGAAGGCCUUCGGGUUGUAAAGUACUUUCAGCGGGGAGGAAGGGAGUAAAGUUAAUACCUUGGCUCAUUGACGUUACCCGCAGAAGAAGCACCGGCUAACUCCGUG
RNAcentral lists this ribosomal RNA (490 nucleotides) under uncultured bacterium. RNAcentral's name for it is "partial 16S ribosomal RNA". It matches the Rfam family "Bacterial small subunit ribosomal RNA", at positions 30 to 507 of the family's 1533-position model. The record is from RNAcentral.